RNAcentral lists this ribosomal RNA (260 nucleotides) under uncultured bacterium. Its description in RNAcentral is "partial 16S ribosomal RNA". It matches the Rfam family "Bacterial small subunit ribosomal RNA", at positions 92 to 354 of the family's 1533-position model. The record is from RNAcentral.
CGAGUGGCGGGACGGGUGAGUAAUGUCUGGGAAACUGCCCGGUGGAGGGGGAUAACUACUGGAAACGGUAGCUAAUACCGCAUAACGUCGCAAGACCAAAGAGGGGGACCUUCGGGCCUCUUGCCACCGGAUGUGCCCAGAUGGGAUUAGCUUGUUGGUGAGGUAACGGCUCACCAAGGCGACGAUCCCUAGCUGGUCUGAGAGGAUGACCAGCCACACUGGAACUGAGACACGGACCAGACUCCUACGGAAGGCAGCAG